AUGGUGGCCUGCAGCGGCCAAGAAGCCAAAAAAAAUUUUUUUUUUUCAGAUACUGUGUUUGAUUUUUGGAGAGGGGAGAGGUGGAAAUUCCUAAAUGGCUAAUGCACUGUUCCCUCCAGCCCGAAUGCCUCCUGCCGAACCCCUUUGCCUCCGUCCCCCCAUCCCUGUUCUCCUCUGGGUCCAUAACACUUUUUCCGAGGAUGAACAGGGGACAUCUUUAGGUUUUUCAACUCUUGCUUUGGUGUUUGCUGCAGCAUGGAAAACAGAGCGCCUAAGGCUGGGAGCCAGAAGAAGGGGCAUUGGGUACCCAGGCAGAGUCGGGAGAGGUGGUCUUCGAAGUUAAGUUAGCAGAAAUAAAGGGGACGCCCGCCUACCUGGGCUGGGGAGGGAUUUGAAGAUAGUUCAUGACUCUCUCCUGCUCUGCCUUCCCGCCUUCCUAUCUGCUUUUUCCAGUAAACUGCAUGGCGUCCUUCCCUGGCCCUCUCUUGGCUCAAAGGCUGGGAGGGAGGAAAGGAGAGAAGAGUUCUAGGCAAUCCCAUCAAGGUAGUCCCUACUCCUGGGGCUGUGGCCCACAUGUCUUCACGGAGGCUUCCAGCUCUGCCUGCCACUGAGGCAGGCGCGUUCCCAGGACCAUCACCAGGAAUGUGAGGCCACCCUGGGUCAGAGGUAGGAGCCCGAGGUCCAGCCUUUGCUCUUUGAUUGUGGGCAGCCUCCUGCCCUCUCUGGGUCUCAGUUGCCCCAUCUGCAGAGCGAGGAGGCCUGGGCUGGUUGGUCUUGAAGGCCCUUUUCCAUGCUGACAUGAAGGAGUCCUUGCCCAGGGAAGGCUUGAGGUGAGAAGCAGCUUCUCAGACUGUCAGGGCCAGGCCUGGGUCUAGAAUUCUUGCUGCUGCUUUGCAAAGUCAACAGCCUAUCAUCCCAUGUUUUAGAGGGGACACUUUGGUCCUCGGUUCCCACCCUCAGCAAGCAGGUCUCCAGCCCGAGGAAGGCCUCUGCUGGAGCGACAUUGCUAUGUGGGGCUGCGUGGCUGUUCCCCUUGGCUGGAGCAUUCAGCCAACCCCAGCAUCACCCCUGAGGCAUUUAUUGGCAGCCCUCUAGGGCUGCAUGCUGGCUCGACCGUAACCCCCCUCCCCCACCAACAUCCUGCAGGGAUGGGGUCAGUGCUUCCACCUUCACAGGCCACUUUGAAGGGUGGAUUCUUUGAGGCCCCUGCCGGUCGGCUCCCUGCUCAGCCACUGGCCUGGGCUACCUGGGACUCAGCACCAAUGGCUGAAGUUUCUCAGCCAGGCUCUGACCUGGGGUCUGGGGCAGGGGAUGAACAUGGUGAUUCGGGGCUGAGAGGAUGAAGGAGGACUUUCCCAGGUCAAAUUACUUUUCUUUGGCCUCUGCCUGAGGCUUGAUUUGCCUCUCUGGUCCAAUGGGACUGACACUGUUGUACAGCUUGGCCUGUGGCUGAGGGUGUCUGGGGUUAAGCAUGUGGACCCCUUCGGUGUGUCCGGCCUUCCUCCAUCAUCCUGCCCUUUGGCCUUUUGGUUUGAAGCCACAAGUGUGGCUUCUGACCUUAGCAGACGGUAUCCUUGCCGACCGCAGCCCAGCGUGCUGGUGGGUCCCCACCCCGAGCCAGCCCAGAACUGUCGGAAGGGCCACCCUUCCCGGCCCUGGCAGGGUGCUGGACACUGGCCAUUUUCACUGGAGGUUGCCCGGCAGGGACCGAUCUCUGCCCCUUCCUCUCCCCAGGCCUCUAGCUGCAGUGAUGCUGCAGAAUCCUAAGCCAGGUGCCUCCUGAGCAGCCCGUGUGCCUCUCCACAGCGGCGUUUGCCACCCAAUGCGGCUCCCUUCAGAUGCUCUGAUGCAGAGGGCACGCCCGUAGUCCCUCUGCAGAGCCUCACACUGGGGCCAGGGCAGGCACCAGCCCCAGGCAGCCAGUCGACCACGGCCUGGCGUCUUCCUCGUAGCGUCUGUUCCUCACUUUGUGUUGAUGCUGACUUAGAAGAAUGUUCCGAUUUUCCAUGAUCUAAGCAGGCCACGUUUAAAAUAACAUCAAGGCAAGCGUACGUGUCAUCCUCUGUACUGACAUCUCUUCCCCUGAAAUGCUUUUCAAUUUGACAGCCCAUUUCCUAGACAAGUGCACCUGGGGUUUCAGGAACUUUGUCUCUUUUGGGAGGGGGUUGGUGGGGAGGUCAGGAUGCCUGGGAUCCCUUCCUGGAGAGUCAGCUUCUCUCUGGAAAAAGCCUCCAUUGCCCACCCGCCAGGCAGAAAGUCACCGUGUCCCCAGCGCGGUUUCAGCGUUUGAUUUUAAGAGAUCUAAGGAAGCGCGGCGCGCCCCCUGGUGCUGGUAAGCCGCCAACGCACCUGGGGCUGCAACCCCACUGGACGGGUGGUCCGGAGGGAGGCUGGAGUGGGGAGGUGAGGAGGGAGCUGUGAGUCCUCAGAGGCUGUGGGCCACCACAUUUCUGGCAGCGUUUCCCAGACACCCCUCUGCUAGGCCAUCCCUGGAUAGCAAGUGAAUUAACUUAAGGGCACUGUGAUGGGAAGCCUUGCCCCCCCCUCUUUUUUUUUUUUUUUUUUAAAUAUCUGCGGAAUAAACCCAAUGGUUAAUUUUUGAAUGAAUAAAAGGCUUUUGUUGAA
This is a long non-coding RNA of Macaca fascicularis (crab-eating macaque), 2625 nucleotides long. NCBI's taxonomy places the organism in Eukaryota, Metazoa, Chordata, Mammalia, Primates, Cercopithecidae. The record is from Ensembl.